UGAUUAAUGAUGCGCGCGGUUUACUGAAAAAACGCUCCUCCAAUUGCAAUCGCCACGUCGGCAGUGGCGCUUAGGCUUAACGAUCUUGGGCAGGAUUGGGAGACGUCAACCUAGUUCUUCAAUUAACUGGUCCUGACCACGAGCAUGUCAAGAGACCUUCAGAACGAACAUGAAUGAAACGACACGAACAUGAAUGAAACGACACGAACAGGCGAUUCACCUACGAAUUUAACUGAUUAUACAGAGAUACAGAAGUAAUAGAAUCUCUUUUCUUUUCCUCGCUAAAGAUUUAUACAAAGAUGAAGCGACACGAACAUGAACUCUCCUAUCCGCCGUCCGUCGACCGACCGGUCGAUCAGUGCACGAGGUAGGUGACGGCAAGCGCGGCGGCCAUGAGCAGGUACGCCACGGCCUGGUCGACCCUCCUGCCGUCGCCGGCCACGGCCGCCAACCCCUCCGCCUUCCUCGCCCCGCCCUGCGCCGCGCCGGCAGCGGGCACGUCGACGUUCGCCGCGCGAGCCAUCGCGUGAUGACCGAUGAACGACCCGCUCACAAGAAUCGGCUCGACCGACGGUAUGCCGGGUCCUUCCCUGGUGAGCCGACGAAGAAGAAAGAAGAUCUGGAUCCGGGCUGUGGGUGUUGGUCGUGGCCAGUUUGUGCUUGGUGGAGAGGCGGUGGAUCUGGCGUGUUUAUAUAGCGGGAUAGGAUUUGGGAGGGUAUUACGGGCCGGAUUCCCGGUCAAACGUGCCUGCCUGCCGGCCUUUUGCUUGGGCGCGUAAAAGUCGUUUGCUCGGAAGCUUCUGCGGUGUUUCCACGUGGCUGAGACGAGGAUGCCGCGUCCAAAUCGAAUCAGC
Molecule: ribosomal RNA, 854 nt
Filed under: Triticum aestivum (bread wheat)
Lineage: Eukaryota; Viridiplantae; Streptophyta; Magnoliopsida; Poales; Poaceae
Description: partial small subunit ribosomal RNA
Source: RNAcentral